Molecule: long non-coding RNA, 2822 nt
Organism: Patella vulgata (common limpet)
Lineage: Eukaryota; Metazoa; Mollusca; Gastropoda; Patellidae
Exons: 3
Source: RefSeq, a predicted model, not a curated record
GAAAAAUGUUUGGCAUGAAUUUUAUGAAUAUAUUUAAUCAAAAUGGCUGAACUUUUUAUAAUUCGUUUCCAUGAUUAGAGAAAACAGAUUAUGGAAGAAUCUUUAUCAGUUUUAACUCCAGUUCAACAGCGACAUGAUGGCUAGACAAAGUUUAAGACGCUUUUCAAAAAGCAGUAAUGAAGAGAUCAUAUUGGCACCACCAGGAAGUCCCACUCUUUGGUCUAAUCAAUCUGAAGAGGGACAUUUUCCGCCAACCCCACCCCCUAAACCCCCAUUAAGUUUAAGUAAGGGUAAAGAUUCACGCCCUGGGUCAUCAAGACGGCGAAAAUAUUCUGCAUCAUUAUCUCUGACAUCAAAUGAUUCAUUGGAAGGAUAUGAUGUUGAUCCAUUUGCCAGACGACCAUCCAGACCUUCAUCAUCCCUUUCAAAAUACAAACCACUACCAGACAUCAAUAUUAACCAUAAUAAAAAUAGAGAAAGAAGGGAAAGCGAACAGAAUGUUAACAAAGUUUCCCGGGACCUGAAGCAAAUGAGUCUGGUUACAAAUAAUGGUAAAGAUGAAGACUCGGCGAUAAAUAAAAAACCUGUUGGUGAAAAUAAAAACACUAAAAGUCCCUCUGUGAAAAAUGACGAACAAAAACCAGAAAAAAGACAGGUCAAUGAGGGCAAAUGUAUUACUCUGGCCAUUAAAAUUCCAACUACAGGAUCAAGAAUAACUAAAAGCUUUAAGGAAACAGAAACCCUUCAUUCUGUGCUGAAGUAUGCAGAAACAGAAUGUGGGGAAACAUUGUCUCAAGAUUAUUAUUUAGCUGUUAAUGUGCCAAGAAGAAUAUUUGAAAAUCCAAGGUUAACUAUUAAACAGACAGGACUGGAAGACAAGACAACCUUGUUUUUAUUUGAAAAAGAUAUGAUUUAGUAUAAAGGCACAUAUAAUUCCAAUGUUUACUUGGAUGGUCUCAUCAAUUUAAGCAGAGUAUUUGGGUUUAGGCUAGGAAGUAUAUAUUCUAUGCAUGAUUCCAUUUGGUAUCGAGUGAAUGAAAUUUGACUGCAAUUAAACAGUACCUCCUUCAUUUAAUGGAUAUGUCAUUUGUAUGGGUGUACAUAAAAAUCGAUGGUAAUUUAAAAAGUAUCAUUCAAAAGUAGACAUAAUUUUAAAAUUGAGCCUUUGUUCUGGGGUAAUGUUUCCCAUGUUAUUUUCAAGAAAACUUCUUUAGGUUUGGGUUUAAUUAGACAAUCAAAUAUAUGAUAUUCAUGUUAAUAUUUAUGAUUUUAAUAGGGUUUAUUUAUAGUGUGUUGUGAUUUAAAUGUAUGAAGUAUGUAUGUGUCACUGAAUUAUUUUUUUUUUCAGUGAUUAAUUAUGACUGCUGUUGAUAUUUUUGUGUUAUUAUAAUAGAGUUAUAUAUUUAUGUUCGCACAGAGUUUAUUUAUGGAUCUGUUUUAUUGACCCAUAUUGUGGUUCAAGUUUGUUGCAAUGUAGUAUAGUUGUUGAUACUGGCAGGCCAUUUGAUGGACCCCUCCUCCCCUCCCCCUCCUCCGGUCUAUAAGGUUAUUUUGAAUAUGAUACGAACCAAAAUUGAUUAAAUUUAUACAUAUUCGUGGUGACAGUGAUAAUGCCUUUCUAAACACCACUAAAACAUUUCAAAUCAAAUUGUCACUUUCUUUUUUUUUUAAAAACCUAUUAGAUAUCUUUUCUAUUAUAAUCAAAGUAAAUUAAAUGAAACAAUGUACACUGUGAUAUAUGAAAUGAUAAUUUAUAUUGUAUAUAUUGAAGCUAACUUAAAUUGCAUAUUGAUUCUAUUUUAAAGGUUUUUAACAUGUAUAUUUUUUAAAAAAAUGUUGAAGUUUGAUUUUGGUUUUAUAGUCUUAGGGUUAUUUUACAGAAAUACUGACUGAUAUAUUGAAAUUCCAUCCAAAUUUUUAUGUGAUUAUAAGAUUUGAAAUUAGAUACUACAAUAAAUAUUGUAUUGAAGAAAGAAUUAUUGUUUUGACAUGACCACAUGUUGAUUUCACAUACGGGAGCCACAGUGGCUCAGAAAGUAAGACAUUGGCUCGCUAACCUGGAGGUCCCAUGUUCGAUCCUUGUGUUGACCGAGAAAAUUCAUCAUGAUUUUCCGGCAUGGUUCCCCCUUGUCAGUGGUGCAGAAUGGAGGGCCCAUGUACACAUUGGCGUGUUCAUCAAUAUAAGAAUAGGCCGCAGUGCUGCUGUUCAGGUAAAAUUUCCCUCAUAGCACACUGUUUGCCCUUCUUCAUUAGCCCAGUCGGUGCAGAACAGUAGGAUUUCACAUAAAGGUAUAUUGCCAUAACCAAUCUCCUGGUUUAAAACUCCACAGUACAGAUGUGUUUUAGAAAAAAAAUUCAAACUGGCUGGGAUUGCUAUGGUAGUAAUCACGAGAUAACAGCACCUUCAACUUUGAAAACAUUAUAAAGGCCAGAUCUCAGUGAGUAAUAUAAGACUUGGCUCUCUAACCUGAAAGUCCGGUGUUGACAGAGAAAGUUUAUCAGGAUUUUCCAGAAUGGUUGUCCAUGAUGCAGGACGGAGGGCCUAGCAACGUACAACAUAUAGACGUUCAGAUGGGAUGAAAAACUGAGGUCUUGUGUACACAUUGGCGUAUAAGAUCCCUUGACAGUUGGAACUCAAUGUAAGAGUAGGCUGUAGAGCCGCUGUCAGGGCAAAAUUUCGUCUACAGCACCCUGCAUGGUAUAUAUCCACUUCAUUUGCCCAGUCAGAGCAGAACAGUAGGAGUUAAAACCCAUUUCAUUUCCUUACAUCUAGAUGUGCAUUCUUUGAACAUGUGGCAGUAUAUUGUCAUCACCCCUGUAUC